Molecule: ribosomal RNA, 884 nt
Filed under: Salmonella enterica subsp. enterica serovar Thompson
Lineage: Bacteria; Pseudomonadati; Pseudomonadota; Gammaproteobacteria; Enterobacterales; Enterobacteriaceae
Description: bacterial LSU rRNA
Rfam family: Bacterial large subunit ribosomal RNA
Source: RNAcentral
GGGUUGUGAGGUUAAGCGACUAAGCGUACACGGUGGAUGCCCUGGCAGUCAGAGGCGAUGAAGGGCGUGCUAAUCUGCGAUAAGCGCCGGUAAGGUGAUAUGAACCGUUAUAACCGGCGAUACCCGAAUGGGGAAACCCAGUGUGACUCGUCACACUAUCAUUAACUGAAUCCAUAGGUUAAUGAGGCGAACCGGGGGAACUGAAACAUCUAAGUACCCCGAGGAAAAGAAAUCAACCGAGAUUCCCCCAGUAGCGGCGAGCGAACGGGGAGGAGCCCAGAGCCUGAAUCAGCAUGUGUGUUAGUGGAAGCGUCUGGAAAGGCGCGCGAUACAGGGUGACAGCCCCGUACACAAAAGCGCAUGUGCUGUGAGCUCGAUGAGUAGGGCGGGACACGUGGUAUCCUGUCUGAAUAUGGGGGGACCAUCCUCCAAGGCUAAAUACUCCUGACUGACCGAUAGUGAACCAGUACCGUGAGGGAAAGGCGAAAAGAACCCCGGCGAGGGGAGUGAAAAAGAACCUGAAACCGUGUACGUACAAGCAGUGGGAGCCCCACCACUAAGCCAGUGGUGAACUCCACAUACGCAUCCUUUGCUGAAGGCAAUGGUUAACGGAGCGAAAGCGACGUUCAACCGCAAAACAAGCAGAGGGGGCUUAGUGGUGGGGUGACUGCGUACCUUUUGUAUAAUGGGUCAGCGACUUAUAUUCUGUAGCAAGGUUAACCGUAUAGGGGAGCCGGAGGGAAACCGAGUCUUAAUUGGGCGUUAAGUUGCAGGGUAUAGACCCGAAACCCGGUGAUCUAGCCAUGGGCAGGUUGAAGGUUGGGUAACACUAACUGGAGGACCGAACCGACUAAUGUUGAAAAAUUAGCGGAUGACCUGUGGCU